UCCCCAGAAACAAGUUAAAAGUCGCAAUGCAACCCCAUCCACAAUCACAAAUCUGAAGUCGCUGGCCAUCGGCGCGCGUGGUCGCAGUACAGCUCCCACCAAAAAUAUAUUACGCGCGCUUCCAUUACACUCCCCGUUGUACACUGAUCAUGCUUCGAAAUGAAGUGUCGCUGACGACGUACAUGGAGGAGAACGUGUUUAUUUAAAAACCGCAUUAAAUACUCGCGGAAAGAAAACACGUGACUUAGCUUCCACGUAUCCGAUUGUGCGCCACAUUGUGGGAGACCCCACAGUCAAUGCUCGGGCUACAUUCUCCGCUCGCGGAGGUAUAUGCCUGAGUGUCCCCAUUUCGAGAGCAAAGGGGAUUACUCAAACCAAGGUGCUUCUGCAAGCUACAAUUACCAUGACAACGACGACGCACCCGCAGGCCGACGUCAUACGUGACGUAUGCAUGAGAGAGGCGCAGCUUUCGUCGUCUGCUCUUACGGCACGUUUCGACAAAUUCCUCGAAAACGGCUUGGUUAUUCCGAAUGAAACUUUGACGGUUGUAUGUGUACAGUACUCGUGAAACUAGUUUUGGCUAAGUUUCGGAAUCGCCCCGGCUGUAUGAGACCGUCCCUCUAAGAAUCGAACCGCAGGACACCCGUGAAGCACUGUUACGAUACAUCAGUGUACUGGCCCCUUACAAAAUUGUGUGAUGACAAACAACGAUCAACGCUUGGAGCGCAAUAAAUACUCACAAUCUCUGUGGCCUCCCAUUGUUUUCUAUGGGCACACAUAGCGCUAUAGGGCCCACCAACAUGGCGGCCCGAAUGCGUGCGUCUCCCCCACGAGCCCCUCUCCUGUGCACGAUCCAGCCUUUAUACGCUCUGCAAGUAACCGAGCGUUCUGCGCAUAUCUCCUCUCCCGGUUACUCCACUCGGGAAGCCCCACUGGCUACGGCGGCGACCUCCUCUUCCCUCUCACUGCCUCCUCUCAUGCGCAGAGACUCACUUGCACAGCGUAUACGAGGGGUAACCGGGACUUUCUGUCUCCUGAGUGUAUAAAUGGCUCACGUUACUUCUUUUUCGUCAUUUUCACACGCGACAGGCCUCCGCGUUAACCACGUGGUGGUCCAAAGUUUGUGCAAAACAGAAGACACGCGCUGGACAAGAUGGCCGACAACGAGGUGAGCGUGCACAUCGAACAGCGAAUUGUCAUGAAGAUUCUUGUGAAUGAAGGCGUAAAGUCAUCUGAAAUUCACAGAAGACUUCAGGCUCAGUAUGGCCACGAUACACUUAGCCGCAGCAAAGCGUUUGAGUAGUGUAAACGGUUCCGAGACGGCCGUACAUCAGUGCAGGGCGAUCCCGUCCGGGGCGGCUCAGAGCCCAGUGUCAGAGUUCCUGAGAACAUCUAACCUGUGGAGCGCCUGAUCCUCAAGGACCGACGGAUAACAUGUCUCGAACUGGUUCGAAAGACGGACCUUCUGUGGGAACGUUGAACACUAUCAUUCAUGAACAUCUCCAGCUUCGGAAAGCCGGGCCUCAUCACCAAAGGAGUCCUCCUCCUACAGGACAAUGCACGACACGCACCUUACAAGAACUUGGCUGGGAGUUGCUGCCACAUCCCCCUUACAGUCUAGACCUAGCCCCAAGUCAUUUCCAUCUCUUCGGUCCACUGAAGGCUUUCCUUGGGGGCCGCCACUUCAGCUGCGACGACGAGGUCAAGAAUGCGGUCCGAUCAUGGCUGCUACGCGCCGGGCACACUGUCGCAUUGCAAUGGAUCCCGGGACAUGUCGGCAUCACCGGCAAUGAAGAAGCAGACAGAGCCGCCUUGAGCACCUAUCAGCACCCAACUUUUCCCCCGAUAAUGAUGUCUUCGGGCAACCGAAGACACCUCCUUUCGUCACUCACUGGCCCCAAGAUGGCAACACGGCUGAGUGGCAACACGACAUGGCAUACUCCCUUCUCUCGGAUGUAGACCCCACGCUUUCCCCUCUUCCUUCGUUUCUUUUUUGCAAUAAACCUAUAUCCCCCCCCCCCCCG
Long non-coding RNA from Ornithodoros turicata, 2024 nucleotides. RefSeq lists it as uncharacterized. NCBI's taxonomy places the organism in Eukaryota, Metazoa, Arthropoda, Arachnida, Ixodida, Argasidae. The transcript is spliced from 2 exons. The record is from RefSeq and is a predicted model, not a curated record.